RNAcentral lists this ribosomal RNA (417 nucleotides) under bacterium. RNAcentral describes it as "partial 16S ribosomal RNA". It matches the Rfam family "Bacterial small subunit ribosomal RNA", at positions 355 to 776 of the family's 1533-position model. The record is from RNAcentral.
UGGGGAAUAUUGCACAAUGGACGGAAGUCUGAUGCAGCGACGCCGCGUGGGGGAUGAAGGCUUUCGGGUUGUAAACUCCUUUUGAUGCUGAACAAGGCUCUUUUUAGGGUUGAGGGUAGGUGUUGAAUAAGCGCCGGCUAACUACGUGCCAGCAGCCGCGGUAAUACGUAGGGCGCGAGCGUUGUCCGGAAUUAUUGGGCGUAAAGGGCACGUAGGCGGUUUGUCGCGUCUGCUGUGAAAGACCGGGGCUUAACUCCGGGGUUGCAGUGGGUACGGGCAGACUAGAGUGCGGUAGGGGUAGCUGGAAUUCCUGGUGUAGCGGUGGAAUGCGCAGAUAUCAGGAGGAACACCGAUGGCGAAGGCAGGUUACUGGGCCGUUACUGACGCUGAGGAGCGAAAGCAUGGGGAGCGAACAGG